CAGCCGCCGCGGGAAUACGAAGGGUGCAAGCGUUACUCGGAAUUACUGGGCGUAAAGCGUGCGUAGGUGGUGGUUUAAGUCCGUUGUGAAAGCCCUGGGCUCAACCUGGGAAUUGCAGUGGAUACUGGGUCACUAGAGUGUGGUAGAGGAUAGUGGAAUUUCCGGUGUAGCAGUGAAAUGCGUAGAGAUCGGAAGGAACAUCUGUGGCGAAGGCGACUAUCUGGGCCAACACUGACACUGAGGCACGAAAGCGUGGGGAGCAAACAGGAUUAGAGACCCCCGUAGUCCCUGUCUCUUAUAA
This 301-nucleotide ribosomal RNA is filed under the name uncultured bacterium. RNAcentral's name for it is "partial 16S ribosomal RNA". It matches the Rfam family "Bacterial small subunit ribosomal RNA", at positions 509 to 809 of the family's 1533-position model. The record is from RNAcentral.